Molecule: ribosomal RNA, 468 nt
Filed under: uncultured bacterium
Lineage: Bacteria
Description: partial 16S ribosomal RNA
Rfam family: Bacterial small subunit ribosomal RNA
Source: RNAcentral
GACGAACGCUGGCGGCGUGCUUAACACAUGCAAGUCGAACGGAAAGGCCCUGCUUUUGUGGGGUGCUCGAGUGGCGAACGGGUGAGUAAGACGGGAGUAACCUGCCCUUGACUUUGGGAUAACUUCAGGAAACUGGGGCUAAUACCGGAUAGGAGCUCCUGCUGCAUGGGGGGGGAUGGUAAGAUUCGGCGGUUGGGGAUGGGCUGGCGGCGUAUCAGCUUCUUGGUGGGGUAGUGGCUGACCAAGGCUUUGCCGGGUAGCCGGCCUGAGAGGGUGACCGGCCACGUUGGGACUGAGCUACGGCACAGCCCACUCCGGGACGCAGCGGUGGGGAGUAUUACACUAUAGGCUGAGGCCUGACGUGGCGACGCCGCGUGCGGGAUGACGGCCUUCGGGUUGUAAACCGCUUUCCCAUGUGCCGAGGCGUGAGUGACGGUAAUGGGUAAAGAAGCACCGGCUAACUACGUG